This 95-nucleotide small RNA is filed under the name Arabidopsis thaliana (thale cress). Its description in RNAcentral is "ATSL168500". Lineage: Eukaryota; Viridiplantae; Streptophyta; Magnoliopsida; Brassicales; Brassicaceae. The record is from RNAcentral.
CUCUCUCUCUCUCUCUCUCUCUCUCAUCUCACCAACAUUCCUCACUACCAUCGAAUUCUACGAUCAAGUCUCUAGAUCAAGAAAACAACUAAUUU